CCCUUAGAUGUUCUGGGCCGCACGCGUGCUACACUGAGUGGAUCAGCGGGUCAGGUUGCGCGAAAGCGUUUCCUAAUCUUUAAAUCCGCUCGUGAUGGGGAUUGACGGUUGCAAUUUUCUGUCAUGAACGAGGAAUACCUUGUAAGCGCGGGUCAUCAUCCCGCGCUGAAUACGUCCCUGCCCUUUGUACACACCGCCCGUCGCUCCUACCGAUUGAGUGGUCCGGUGAGGCUUUGGGAUCUGAGCUGAAAGAGCGUUUCGCUGUUUCUGCUCGGAAAACUCAGUCGAACCUUAUCAUUUAGAGGAAGGAGAAGUCGUAACA
This 322-nucleotide ribosomal RNA is filed under the name uncultured eukaryote. RNAcentral describes it as "partial 18S ribosomal RNA". It matches the Rfam family "Eukaryotic small subunit ribosomal RNA", at positions 1470 to 1796 of the family's 1831-position model. The record is from RNAcentral.